GGAAGCUGGGAUUCCAAUGGCAGGCAGGAAAUCUUGUAGUAGGUGAUCGUGGCCUUCCUUGGGAUCCCUGUUUCCCCCUUUUAUUCCCUUUUCACCCAGUAAAACCCUGCUUUGCUCACUCUUUAAAGCAUCUGUGAGCGUAAAUUUUUGUGGCCAUGGGAUGGACAAGAACCACAUGUUUACCUGAAGUCCUGUGACAUUUUGGUGUGCAGCAUGGGAGCUCCAAAAGUGACAUUCUUUCAGAUGCCAGAGGAUGCUAUAGAAAAAUGCGUGCCCUCUUGUAAUACUUUGUUCAAGUUCUGAUCAGAAGGAUGAAUGAUGGAGCCCAAGAAGCCAGACAGAGUCUCAUUGUGUUGCUCAGGCUGGAAUCCAGUGGCAUGAUCUCGGCUCAGUGCAACCUCCGCCUCCUGGGUUCAAGCAGUUCUCCUAGAUCAGCAUCAGCGUCCCGAGUAGCUGGGAUUACAGGCACCCGCCACCAUGCCUGGCUAAUGUUGGUCAGGCUGGCUCGAACUCCUGACCUCAAGAGAUCCACCUGCUUUGGCCUCCCAAAGUGCUCGGAUUACAGGCAUGAGCUGCCACACCCAGCCUCCAAAUACUUUUUUUUUAAAUCAAAAUAAUGAUUUCAAUGACUGAGAUCUGUUAUGUAUUUCAACAUAAUCAUGUUUCAUAAAGAUUUAGUCUUCUGAAAGCCAGUGUGAAUUGUUUUUUUUUCUACAAGUUUAAUCAAAACCAAACAAAAUCAACAAACC
This 749-nucleotide long non-coding RNA is filed under the name Homo sapiens (human). RNAcentral's name for it is "HSALNT0337471". Lineage: Eukaryota; Metazoa; Chordata; Mammalia; Primates; Hominidae. The record is from RNAcentral.